This 433-nucleotide ribosomal RNA is filed under the name uncultured bacterium. RNAcentral describes it as "partial 16S ribosomal RNA". It matches the Rfam family "Bacterial small subunit ribosomal RNA", at positions 29 to 507 of the family's 1533-position model. The record is from RNAcentral.
AACGAACGCUGGCGGCAUGCCUAACACAUGCAAGUCGAACGAGACCUUCGGGUCUAGUGGCGCACGGGUGCGUAACGCGUGGGAACCUGCCCUUAGGUUCGGAAUAACUCCCCGAAAGGGGUGCUAAUACCGGAUAAUUUCUUCGGACCAAAGAUUUAUCGCCUUUGGAUGGGCCCGCGUUGGAUUAGCUAGUUGGUAGGGUAAAAGCCUACCAAGGCGACGAUCCAUAUCUGGUCUGAGAGGAUGAUCAGCCACACUGGGACUGAGACACGGCCCAGACUCCUACGGGAGGCAGCAGUGGGGAAUAUUGGACAGUGGGCGAAAGCCUGAUCCAGCAAGGCCGCGUGAGUGAUGAAGGCCUUAGGGUUGUAAAGCUCUUUUACCCGGGAUGAUAAUGACAGUACCGGGAGAAUAAGCUCCGGCUAACUCCGUG